Molecule: ribosomal RNA, 482 nt
Filed under: uncultured bacterium
Lineage: Bacteria
Description: partial 16S ribosomal RNA
Rfam family: Bacterial small subunit ribosomal RNA
Source: RNAcentral
UGAACGCUGGCGGCAUGCUUUACACAUGCAAGUCGAACGGCAGCGCGGGCUUCGGCCUGGCGGCGAGUGGCGAACGGGUGAGUAAUGCAUCGGAACGUGCCCAGUAGUGGGGGAUAGCCCGGCGAAAGCCGGAUUAAUACCGCAUACGACCUGAGGGUGAAAGCGGGGGACCGAAAGGCCUCGCGCUAUUGGAGCGGCCGAUGUCGGAUUAGCUAGUUGGUGGGGUAAAGGCUUACCAAGGCGACGAUCCGUAGCUGGUCUGAGAGGACGACCAGCCACACUGGGACUGAGACACGGCCCAGACUCCUACGGGAGGCAGCAGUGGGGAAUUUUGGACAAUGGGGGCAACCCUGAUCCAGCCAUGCCGCGUGCGGGAAGAAGGCCUUCGGGUUGUAAACCGCUUUUGUUCGGGAAGAAAUCCUCUGGGCUAAUACCCCGGGGAGAUGACGGUACCGGAAGAAUAAGCACCGGCUAACUACGUG